Molecule: long non-coding RNA, 459 nt
Filed under: Elaeis guineensis (African oil palm)
Lineage: Eukaryota; Viridiplantae; Streptophyta; Magnoliopsida; Arecales; Arecaceae
Description: long non-coding RNA (EGUI_LNC068657)
Source: RNAcentral
CCCACGACUCCAACCUCAAAGAGGACUCCGCCCGGACUCCCACGGGAGCCGGGCUCCAUCGCCAACUUCGACUGCCGGUAAGAUCAGUCCGGACUCCUACGGGAGCCGGACUUCGCACCUGAGUUUGAUUGCAAGGGACUCCGCCUUGACUCCUACGGGAGCCGGGCUCUGCUCGCGACUUCAGCUCCAAGAGGACUCCGCCCGGACUCCCACGGGAGCCGGACUCUGCCUAUGACUCCAACCUCAAGGAGGACUCCGCCCGGACUCCCACGGGAGCCGGGCUCUGUCGCCAACUUCGACUGCUGGUAAGAUCAGUCCGAACUCCUACGGGAGCCAGACUUCGCACCUGACUUUGAUUGCAGGGGACUCCGCCCGGACUCCUACGGGAGCCGGGCUCCGCCCGCGACUUCAGCUCCAAGAAGACUCCGCUCGGACUCCCACGGGAGCCGGACUCCGCCC